CGGGAUUAGAGUUUGAUCCUGGCUCAGAUUGAACGCUGGCGGAAUGCUUUACACAUGCAAGUCGAACGGUAGAGGGGGCAACCCCUCGAGAGUGGCGAACGGGUGAGUAAUAUAUCGGAACGUGCCCAGUCGUGGGGGAUAACGUAGCGAAAGUUACGCUAAUACCGCAUACGAUCUACGGAUGAAAGCGGGGGACUCGCAAGAGCCUCGCGCGAUUGGAGCGGCCGAUAUCAGAUUAGGUAGUUGGUGGGGUAAAGGCUCACCAAGCCAACGAUCUGUAGCUGGUCUGAGAGGACGACCAGCCACACUGGAACUGAGACACGGUCCAGACUCCUACGGGAGGCAGCAGUGGGGAAUUUUGGACAAUGGACGCAAGUCUGAUCCAGCCAUUCCGCGUGCAGGAUGAAGGCCCUCGGGUUGUAAACUGCUUUUGUACGGAACGAAAAGGUUUCUAUUAAUACUAGGAGCUCAUGACGGUACCCGUAAGAAUAAGCACCGGCUAACUACGUGCCAGCAGCCGCGGUAAUACGUAGGGUGCAGGCGUUAAUCGGAAUUACUGGGCGUAAAGCGUGCGCAGGCGGUUAUGUAAGACAGAGGUGAAAUCCCCGGGCUCAACCUGGGAACUGCCUUUGUGACUGCAUAGCUAGAGUACGGUAGAGGGGGAUGGAAUUCCGCGUGUAGCAGUGAAAUGCGUAGAUAUGCGGAGGAACACCGAUGGCGAAGGCAAUCCCCUGGACCUGUACUGACGCUCAUGCACGAAAGCGUGGGGAGCAAACAGGAUUAGAUACCCUGGUAGUCCACGCCCUAAACGAUGUCAACUGGUUGUUGGGUCUUCACUGACUCAGUAACGAAGCUAACGCGUGAAGUUGACCGCCUGGGGAGUACGGCCGCAAGGUUGAAACUCAAAGGAAUUGACGGGGGCCCGCACAAGCAGCGGAGCGUGUUGCUUAAUUCGAUGCUACGCGAAGAACCUUACCUAGGUUAAAUCAUUGGGAAAAGCCACAGAGAUGUGGUGUCCUUCGGGGCUCAAUGAAGGUGGUGCAUGGCUGUCGUCAGCUCGUGUCGUGAGAUGUUGGGUUAAGUCCCGCAACGAGCGCAACCCUUAUUCUAUGUUGCCAGCACGUAAUGGUGGGGACUCGUAGGAGACUGCCGGGGUCAACUCGGAGGAAGGCGGGGAUGACGUCAAGUCAUCAUGCCCCUUAUGUCUAGGGCUGCAAACACGCUACAAUGGCCGGUACAAAGGGCUGCGAAACCGCGAGGUUUAGCGAAUCCCAUAAAGCCGGUCUCAGUUCGGAUUGGAGGCUGCAACUCGCCUCCAUGAAGCUGGAGUUGCUAGUAAUCCCGGAUCAGCMACGCCGGGGUGAAUACGUUCCCGGGCCUUGUACACACCGCCCGUCACACCACGAAAGUCGGUAACACCCGAAGCCGGUGGCCUAACCGUAAGGAAGGAGCCGUCGAAGGUGGGAUCGGUGAUUGGGGUGAAGUCGUAACAAGGUAAA
RNAcentral lists this ribosomal RNA (1499 nucleotides) under uncultured beta proteobacterium. RNAcentral describes it as "partial 16S ribosomal RNA". It matches the Rfam family "Bacterial small subunit ribosomal RNA". Lineage: Bacteria; Pseudomonadati; Pseudomonadota; Betaproteobacteria. The record is from RNAcentral.